GAGUUUGAUCAUGGCUCAGAUUGAACGCUGGCGGCAGGCCUAACACAUGCAAGUCGAGCGGAUGAAGGGAGCUUGCUCCUGGAUUCAGCGGCGGACGGGUGAGUAAUGCCUAGGAAUCUGCCUGGUAGUGGGGGAUAACGUCCGGAAACGGGCGCUAAUACCGCAUACGUCCUGAGGGAGAAAGUGGGGGAUCUUCGGACCUCACGCUAUCAGAUGAGCCUAGGUCGGAUUAGCUAGUUGGUGGGUAAAGGCCUACCAAGGCGACGAUCCGUAACUGGUCUGAGAGGAUGAUCAGUCACACUGGAACUGAGACACGGUCCAGACUCCUACGGGAGGCAGCAGUGGGGAAUAUUGGACAAUGGGCGAAAGCCUGAUCCAGCCAUGCCGCGUGUGUGAAGAAGGUCUUCGGAUUGUAAAGCACUUUAAGUUGGGAGGAAGGGCAGUAAGUUAAUACCUUGCUGUUUUGACGUUACCAACAGAAUAAGCACCGGCUAACUUCGUGCCAGCAGCCGACGG
RNAcentral lists this ribosomal RNA (516 nucleotides) under uncultured microorganism. Its description in RNAcentral is "bacterial SSU rRNA". It matches the Rfam family "Bacterial small subunit ribosomal RNA", at positions 9 to 520 of the family's 1533-position model. The record is from RNAcentral.